CACAGGGCAAGUAUGUGGGAAGGGAUCCAGAGCCCCCGUGUCCUCUCCAGGUGUGCCACCCCACCCUUCCACCAUGCAGAUACGUUCCCAACCCGGAAGCUCUUGGAAUUCCUUUUCAGUUUUUAUGGUAUGAUUGAUCAAAUCACUAGCCACUGGUGGUUGAACUCAAUCUCUAGCCCCUCUCCACUCCCCGGAGGUCAGGGAAGGAGGGGCUGAAAGUGCCAACCAUCUCAUCACGUGGUUGGUUUCCCUGGCAGCCAGCCCCCAUCCAGUGGGACUUUCCCAAAGUCACUUCGUUAAUAUAAACUCCGAGGUGGCUGAAAGGGACUUGUUAUGAACACCAAAAACACACAUUUCACCUUUAUCUUCUGGAGCUAUUUCAGGAACUGGGAACAAAAGAUGCCCUAUAGCUCUUAUCACUUAGGAAAUUACAAAGGUUUAAGGAGCUGUGUACUGGGAACCCUGGAUAAAGACCAAAAUACAUAUUUAUUAUAAAUCACAAUACCACAGAAAAAAAACAAAACAUACACGAUCUAGUUCUAAAAUUUUAUUAGAUUUUUGGAUUAUAUUUUUAUAUGCAACAAAAUAAUCCUGUCAAAUUGCCUUGAAAAGUUUCUAAACGCUGUUAAAUUAAUUAAACAAGGAGGCCAGCAGACUGAGUUGGCUCUAAUACCUUAGUAGCCUACUUAGCAAACCCAAACCUAAGCCUGUAAAUGCCUCAAGGUCAAGGAAUCAAAACCCAAGGACAACCAAUCACAAACAGCCAGCUAGGCUUUCCCAAAGAGGCAAUCGCUUAACUGCAGCCAAUCAAAUCAUCUCCUUGCUUUGCUUCCACCUUUGCUCCUUUGCUCCAUAAAAGUCCCAUGUCGUGUGUGUGUGUGUGUGCGCGCGCACACGCGUGUGUGUCCCGUCGCCCCCUCAUCCCCUCCCCCCUAUUGGUGGAACACUCCUAACCACUUACGGUUUGGCAGUGCUCAAAUCAAAUCAUUUUUUCUCAAAUAACCUCUAAAAUUCCUUAAUACGCCUCAGUUUAUCUUUCAGUAACACUCAGUUUCUGCCCCAGACUGAGGACCUGUGACAUGUUGGGUAACUGUGCUGCAGUCAAUACUGGCCUGAACUUUACCUAGUUUUGAAUUCUAAACAUUGCAAUCCAAACAUUUCACUCCCUUUUUUAAAAGCUUGCCAAACUCUUUGGCCUGUCUUUCAAAAACUUCCACAGUGUGUCCCAAGCAUAUUUUUUAAAAAACACAUUUUACUGAGGUGUAAUUUAUAAACAAUCAAUUGCACCUAUUUAAAGUUCACAAUUCCAUGAGUUUUGAUGGACGUGUAUGCCCACGAAAUCACCACCACGAUCACGACACAAAGCAUUUCCAUCGCCCCAAGAGAUCCCUUGUGCCCCUUUGUAGUCCAUUUGGCCCCAGUUCUAGGCACCCUCUGCUUCUGUCACUAUAGAUUAGUCUUGCCUUUUCCCUUCAUUCAUUCUAAUGAUUCUGAGAUUCGUCCAUGUUGUUGGAUGUAUUGGUAAUUUUCUUCUUUAUAUUGCUGUGUGGUAUUCCCAUUGAAUCCUUCUGAUGUUUCCAGCUUUUGGUUAUGGUGAAUAAAGCUGCUAUGAACAUGUGUGCAUUCGUCUUGAGUGCACAUAUGUUUCAUUUCUCUUGGGUAAAUACCUAGGAGUAGAAUGGCUGGGCUAUAAGGUAAGUGAACAUUUAACUCCAAACCAAUUUUUCCAACUCUAUUUCCCACUAUUCCUCUUACCCACCUUUGAGUCAAACUGAACUAUUUACUUUUUCUCAGACAUGACCCAAGAUCUGCUGCUUCUAUGCCUGUCUUCACGUUAAUCCUCUGGCUUGGAACAUCCCUUUCCAGAUCACCCCAUCUACCUUAGCUCGGUUCAAGUACCAUCCCCACAAAGGCCUCUUUCUUCCUCUCAGUCAGAAGAGACUGUUCCCCCUUGGAAAGUCCACAGAGCUUUAGUUGUACCAUUCUAUUCAUCUUAGAGCUCUUGUUCCUCUAUUAGAUCCUGAGUAUCCUUGAUGGCAGAGUCCAGUUUGGAGCCCUCCUCCCCAAAGGGCCUAGUUCAGUUCUUUGCACAGGGUAGGCACUCAGCAAAUGUUUCUUGGUGAGUAAUAAGGACUCACCACCUCCAAAAGCUGCAAUUGAACAGGUCCAUUUGCCUGAGCUCACUGCAAGGCUGGCCCACGCCCAGGAGAGCAGGAAGCAAGGGAAACACACUGGCUCUCCUCUCAGGUCCUUGGCUCCGUGCAGGGAUACGGUUCCUCAUCCCAGGGCAUGAAACACAAGAAAGGGCAUGUUCUGGGCUAGCAAUAUUAGCAAGAGCUUCAGCUCAAGCCGACUUGAGUCCUGGCCUUAGCUCUCCCACAGUUCCACUGUGACAUGGUGAAGAACUUUUUU
Molecule: long non-coding RNA, 2412 nt
Organism: Equus caballus (horse)
Lineage: Eukaryota; Metazoa; Chordata; Mammalia; Perissodactyla; Equidae
Source: Ensembl